This 95-nucleotide transfer RNA is filed under the name Paracoccaceae bacterium. Its description in RNAcentral is "tRNA-Val(tac)". Lineage: Bacteria; Pseudomonadati; Pseudomonadota; Alphaproteobacteria; Rhodobacterales; Paracoccaceae. The record is from RNAcentral.
CGGCGGUUGGCCCAAGAGAAGGGUGUAAAGGUUUACGCCUUUUGCGAGGAUGUUGCGGCCUCUGGCGGGUACUGGCUCGCCUCUAGUGCUGAUGA